CCGCCAGGCGGUGUUGGAAAGAUCGCGCCACCACCAUCAACAGCCGGCGGUUCAGUGCGACAAAGUCCGGGAACUUCGCCUGCACAUAAAGCGCCUGGUGGUCCAGGCACCGAGUGGACGGAUUAUGCCUCGGCAGGUGGUCAAGGCCAGGCACAACAGCAGCAGAAUGCAACAAACGCAAAUUGGGUGCAAUUCUAAUUAGGUUUGAACAAAUAUAUAAAUACAUAUACAUAAACUCAUUCAGAGAAGCAUAAAAGUAAAUGUAUGUACAUUAAUAACAUACUAAUGCUAGAAAGAUUUAACAACAAACAAAGAAAAUGAAACGGAAAAUUAAAAAAGCUUUUGGCCAGAAUCGUAUUGCAUAUAAUUUAUUGCAUUCAUGUUAGUAAUAUUUUACGCGGCUAUGUAUAAGUACAUGUAACACUAAUCAUACAAUAUCGACAAUUUAACGAAAUUU
Molecule: long non-coding RNA, 457 nt
Filed under: Rhagoletis pomonella (apple maggot)
Lineage: Eukaryota; Metazoa; Arthropoda; Insecta; Diptera; Tephritidae
Description: uncharacterized LOC118757149
Source: RNAcentral